Molecule: long non-coding RNA, 397 nt
Filed under: Rattus norvegicus (Norway rat)
Lineage: Eukaryota; Metazoa; Chordata; Mammalia; Rodentia; Muridae
Description: long non-coding RNA NONRATT031733
Source: RNAcentral
CUUCAGACCUGAGAUACCCACAGAUGCCUACCUUAGCAACACGAUUAACCUCCAGGAUUCUUAUGGGUUGAAUAGUGCUCACCCACUGACUGAUGUGUGCUCAGAAUCCCAGGAAGGAGGAGAGAGAUCUUCAUGGGUAUCCUUCAGUACGGUGGAGGCCACCUAGGAUUUAGGGUGAGCACCGACUUUAACCACCGGUGUCCUUGUGAAUAAGAACAGGACACAGACCCAGAGGAAGAGUGCCACACCUGGACAAGGCAGAAACGAGAGUGGUCAAAAGUCAAGGAACACCGGGGAUGUUGCAGCUCUCAAUCUGGCAAACCUCCUUGUUGGCUUGGAACAGUUCUGGAAAAGGAAGCCUCUAAGACAGCAGGAACAAAUGCCUCACAGCACGGGC